CAAAAGCUGCCAGCAAUGAACAGCUCUGAAGAUCUCCCUGGGUCCUAUGACUUCAACCUUAUCAUCAUUGGAGGAGGCUCAGGAAGAUUGGCAGCAGCAAAGGAGGCAGUAAAAUAUGGCAAGAAGGUGCUAGUCUAGGAUUUUGUCACUCCAACUACCCUUGGAACUCGAUGGGGUCUUGGAGGAACAUAUGUGAACGUGGGUUGCAUACCUAAAAAACUGAUGCACCAAGCAGCCUUGUUAGGACAAGCCCUGAAAGACUCCCAAAACUAUGGAUGGAAAGUUGAGGACACAGUUAAACAUUACUGGGAGAAAAUGACAGAAUCUGUACAGAAUCACACCGACUCCCUGAGCUGGGGCUACUGAGUAGCUCUUUGGGAGAAAAAAGUUGUAUAUGAGAAUGUUUACGGGAAAUUUAUUAGUCCACGUAGGAUUAAGGCAACAAAUAAUAAAGGCAAAUAAAAAAUUUGUUCAGCAGAACGAUUUCUCAUUGCCACUGGUGAACAGCCAAGGUACCUGGGCAUCCCUGGAGACAGAGUAUGGCAUCAGCAGUGACGAUCUUUUCUCCUUGCCUUACUGCCCGGGUAAGACCCUAGUGUUUGGAGCAUCCUAUGUUGCUUUGGAAUGUGCAGGAUUCCUUGCUGGUAUUGGUUUAGAUGUCACUGUAAUGGUACAGUCCAUUCUCCUUAGAGGAUUUGACCAGGAUAUGGCAAACAAAAUUGGUGAACACGUGGAAGAACAUGGUAUCAAGUUUGUAAGGCAGUUUGUACCAAUUAAAGUUGAGCAAAUUGAAGCAGGGACACCAGGCCGACUUAAGGUAACAGCUCAGUCCACCAGCAGUGAGGAAAUCAUCAAAGGAGAAUUUAAUAUGGUGUUGCUGGCAGUAGGAAGAGAUUCUUGUACAAGAACUAUUGGCUUAGAAACCAUGGGCGUGAGGAUAAAUGAAAAGACUGGAAAAAAUACCUGUGACGGAUGAAGAGCAGACCAUCGUGCCUUACAUUUACGCCAUUGGUGACAUUCUGGAAGGAAAACUGGAGCUGACUCCUAUUGCUAUCCAGGCAGGAAGACUGCUGUCUCAGAGGCUGUAUGCCGGGACAACAUCCUACUUAAGGUAAUAUAAGUUGUGUUUAUGUCUUCUCAGGUUUACCAUAGUUUCUUUUGGCCAUUGGAAUGGACAGUUCCAUCAAGAGAUAACAAAUGUUAUGCAAAAAUUAUCUGUAAUCUUAAAGACGAUGAAUGUGUUGUGGGCUUUCAUGUACUGGGUCCAAAUGCUGGAGAAGUGACACAGGGCUUUGCACUCAUGUGUGGAUUGACUAAACAGCAGCUGGACAGUGCAAUUGGAAUCCACCCAGCCUGUGCAGAGAUAUUCACAACGUUGUCAGUGACCAAGCGCUCUGGGGGAGACAUCCUCCAGUCUGGCUGCUGA
This is an RNA transcript of Nannospalax galili (Upper Galilee mountains blind mole rat), 1426 nucleotides long. It is a transcript of the gene named thioredoxin reductase 1, cytoplasmic pseudogene, with no coding region annotated. The record is from RefSeq and is a predicted model, not a curated record. The transcript has a single exon. Lineage: Eukaryota; Metazoa; Chordata; Mammalia; Rodentia; Spalacidae.